AUUGAACGCUGGCGGCAGGCCUAACACAUGCAAGUCGAACGAGUGGCGGACGGGUGAGUAAUGUCUGGGAAACUGCCUGAUGGCGGGGGAUAACUACUGGAAACGGUCGUUAAUACCGCAUACCAUAAGAUGUGCCCAGAUGGGAUUAGCUUGUUGGUGGGGUAACGGCUCACCAAGGAGACGAGCCCUAGCUGGUCUGAGAGGAUGAACAGCCACACUGGAACUGAGAAAAGGUACAGACUCCAACGAGGGGCAGCAGUGGGGAAUAGUUCACAAUGUGCGCAAGCCUGAUGCAGCCAGGUCGCGUGUAUUAAGAAGGCCUUCGGGUUGUAUGUUACUUUCAGCGGGGAGGCGUGACCCGCAGAAGAAGCACCGGCUAACUCCGUGCCAGCAGCCGCGGUAAUUC
This 406-nucleotide ribosomal RNA is filed under the name uncultured bacterium. RNAcentral's name for it is "partial 16S ribosomal RNA". It matches the Rfam family "Bacterial small subunit ribosomal RNA", at positions 30 to 526 of the family's 1533-position model. The record is from RNAcentral.